UGUAUAAUAUUUUUGGUUUAUAUUUUGAAUUGUUUUAUAUUAAAAAAGCAAAACAAAAAUAGUCUAUGUACUAUUUUUUAUUUUUAAAUUACGGAGCACCGGUAUCUAGAAUACCUACAAAGCAGGAAGUGUCGGCACAGCGGCAAUGGGUGUGGAAACUAGGAAGCUAGGGUAGGACCACCACCACCACCUGUCUGCUACAGGGACCAUCUCCAUAAUUAAGGCAGCAGCAGCAGCAGCAGCAGCUAGCUAGCGAGAUUGUUAUUCACAAAGACAUGGCUUGCGUGGUGAGCAGGAUAAAGCAUCCAGUGGAUCCCCAGCAAAGGAAAUCGUGGCUCGAAAAGAACGGUGAGUGACCGGAAAAUGAAUAAAAACAACAACAUCGAUCAUGGCCACAACACAAGUCGGAACAAACCACCGCUGGACCACUUCUUGUAGUGUAAGAAAAUAUACAAUAAGGAUGGAAAAUAUAUGGCAUCAAAAUAUAUAGAGAAUCUCGCCAUGAACAAAUUAAUUAAGCUAUUUUCAGCUC
Molecule: long non-coding RNA, 532 nt
Organism: Populus nigra (black poplar)
Lineage: Eukaryota; Viridiplantae; Streptophyta; Magnoliopsida; Malpighiales; Salicaceae
Exons: 2
Source: RefSeq, a predicted model, not a curated record